This 332-nucleotide unclassified non-coding RNA is filed under the name soil metagenome. Its description in RNAcentral is "partial contains 5.8S ribosomal RNA, internal transcribed spacer 2, and large subunit ribosomal RNA". The stretch from base 1 to 121 matches the Rfam family "5.8S ribosomal RNA", at positions 35 to 154 of the family's 154-position model. The record is from RNAcentral.
GAUGAAGAACGUAGCGAAAUGCGAUAAGUAAUGCGAAUUGCAGAAUUUCCGUGAGUCAUCGAAUCUUUGAACGCACAUUGCGCCCCCUGGUAUUCCGGGGGGCAUGCCUGUUCGAGCGUCAUUUCAACCCUCAAGCUCAGCUUGGUAUUGGGCCUCGCCGGUAACACGGCGGGCCUUAAAAUCAGUGGCGGCGCCGUUGGGUCCUGAACGUAGUAAUCUAUUUCGUUACAGGUGCCCCGCGUGCUUCUGCCAGCAACCCCAAAUUUUUCUAUGGUUGACCUCGGAUCAGGUAGGGAUACCCGCUGAACUUAAGCAUAUCAAUAAGCGGAGGA